This 74-nucleotide transfer RNA is filed under the name Caldivirga maquilingensis IC-167. RNAcentral describes it as "tRNA-Met (CAT) (tRNA-Met-CAT-1-1)". It matches the Rfam family "tRNA". Rfam says of the family: Transfer RNA (tRNA) molecules are approximately 80 nucleotides in length. Their secondary structure includes four short double-helical elements and three loops (D, anti-codon, and T loops). Lineage: Archaea; Thermoproteati; Thermoproteota; Thermoprotei; Thermoproteales; Thermoproteaceae. The record is from Rfam by way of RNAcentral.
GGGCCCGUAGCUCAGCAUGGUGGAGCGUCCGGCUCAUAACCGGAAGGUCCCGGGUUCAAAUCCCGGCGGGCCCA